Molecule: ribosomal RNA, 684 nt
Filed under: Kryptonesticus arenstorffi
Lineage: Eukaryota; Metazoa; Arthropoda; Arachnida; Araneae; Nesticidae
Description: partial large subunit ribosomal RNA
Rfam family: Eukaryotic large subunit ribosomal RNA (bases 360-684)
Source: RNAcentral
GGGAUUAUUCAGUCGGGAGGUCGCGGACGCAGAGUGUGGAAUGACCAGAAUGGUUCCCCGGACGGGGCCGUCCACGCCCUGCGCUUUCGUGCCACCCGACGCAUUUGUUUCCCGUCCCGAGGACGCCGCAACCGGUUGGAGAACGGCCUUAAGGGCUGACGAUGGCAGGUGGCCGGUGACUCUUCCCUCGGGUCGAGUCCGCCGGUUGUUAGCCGGUUUCAGUCGCACGGCUCGUGAUCCGACCGUGGUGUCGCGAGGCCCCUGGCGGGCCUCUUCGCCUCCUCCUUUUGCGGGAAGCCGGGAAUUGGCGGCACGGUCCCUCCCCCCUGCGGGCGCACUGACUGACUCAGUGGCCCAGCUAUCGGGAGGUCCGGUUGGUAGCCUUUUACCCGUUGGAGUGUCGGCGGUUGGCGGCGAGUAGAUCGGUCACCCACCCGACCCGUCUUGAAACACGGACCAAGGAGUCUAACAUGUGUGCGAGUCAAUGGGUCUCGAGUAAGCCCAGAGGCGCAAUGAAAGCAAAGGCCGGACUCGACUUCGGCUGUGUUGGGAUCCUCCUCCCGUCACCGGGGGGAGGCGCACCAACGACCCGUCCCAUCCGAUUCAUCGGCGGGGCGGAGUCUGAGCAUACACGUUGGGACCCGAAAGAUGGUGAACUAUGCCCGGGCAGGACGAAGCCAGAGG